CAAAUGAAUUGACGGGGGCCCGCACAAGCGGUGGAGCAUGUGGUUUAAUUCGACGCAACGCGAAGAACCUUACCUGGCCUUGACAUGCAGAGAACUUUCCAGAGAUGGAUUGGUGCCUUCGGGAACUCUGACACAGGUGCUGCAUGGCCGUCGUCAGCUCGUGUCGUGAGAUGUUGGGUUAAGUCCCGUAACGAGCGCAACCCCUAUCCCUAGUUGCUAGCAGUUCGGCUGAGAACCCUAGGGAGACUGCCGGUGACAAACCGGAGGAAGGUGGGGAUGACGUCAGGUCAUCAUGGCCCUUACGGCCAGGGCUACACACGUGCUACAAUGGUGCGUACAGAGGGCUGCAAACCCGCGAGGGGGAGCUAAUCUCACAAAACGCAUCGUAGUCCGGAUCGGAGUCUGCAACUCGACUCCGUGAAGUCGGAAUCGCUAGUAAUCGCGAAUCAGAAUGUCGCGGUGAAUACGUUCCCGGGCCUUGUACACACCGCCCGUCACACCAUGGGAGUGGAUUGCACCAGAAGUGGUUAGUCUAACCUUCGGGAGGACGAUCACCACGGUGUGGUUCAUGACUGGGGUGAAGUCGUAACAAGGUA
RNAcentral lists this ribosomal RNA (596 nucleotides) under uncultured Marinobacter sp. RNAcentral's name for it is "bacterial SSU rRNA". It matches the Rfam family "Bacterial small subunit ribosomal RNA", at positions 902 to 1498 of the family's 1533-position model. The record is from RNAcentral. Lineage: Bacteria; Pseudomonadati; Pseudomonadota; Gammaproteobacteria; Pseudomonadales; Marinobacteraceae.